CCUGUUCGAGCGCCGUUGUACUACUAAGGCUCAGCCUUGCGAUGGAGAUCCUUUUUCGCAAGAGAAAGGGGUCCAAAACUCAUCGGCGUCUUGUACGAGUGUCCAGCGUAGCAAGUCUCUCGCUAAGGCAGAUCGAUACAAAGACGCCAGUUCAACGAACACUUGGCCUCGAAUCAGGUAGGGAUACCCGCUGAACUUAA
This 200-nucleotide unclassified non-coding RNA is filed under the name soil metagenome. RNAcentral describes it as "partial contains internal transcribed spacer 2 and large subunit ribosomal RNA". The record is from RNAcentral.